This 252-nucleotide ribosomal RNA is filed under the name uncultured bacterium. RNAcentral's name for it is "partial 16S ribosomal RNA". It matches the Rfam family "Bacterial small subunit ribosomal RNA", at positions 524 to 776 of the family's 1533-position model. The record is from RNAcentral.
UACAGAGGGGGCAAGCGUUGUUCGGAAUUACUGGGCGUAAAGGGCGCGUAGGCGCCUUCUAAGUCGAACGUGAAAUCCCCGGGCUCAACCCGGGAACUGCGUCCGAUACUGGAAGGCUUGAAUCCGGGAGAGGGAUGUGGAAUUCCAGGUGUAGCGGUGAAAUGCGUAGAUAUCUGGAGGAACACCGGUGGCGAAGGCGGGUCUCUGGGCCGAUACUGACGCUGAGGAGCGAAAGCGUGGGGAGCGAACAGG